AGCAGCCGCGGUAAUUCCAGCUCCAAUAGCGUAUAUUAAAGUUGUUGCAGUUAAAAAGCUCGUAGUUGAAUUUCGGGAUCAGUGAGUCGGUCGUGCCACUGGUAUGCACUGGCCCUACUGGUUCCUCCUUCUUGAAGAACUGUAAUGCCAUUAAUUUGGUGUUGCAGGGAAACAGGACUGUUACUUUGAAAAAUUAGAGUGUUUAAAGCAGGCAAUCGCUUGAAUACAUUAGCAUGGAAUAAUGAAAUAGGACGAUCGAUCCUAUUUUGUUGGUUUCUAGGAUUGACGUAAUGAUUAAUAGGGAUAGUUGGGGGCAUUAGUAUUCAAUUGUCAGAGGUGAAAUUCUUGGAUUUAUUGAAGACUAACUACUGCGAAAGCAUUUGCCAAGGAUGUUUUCAUUAAUCAAGAACGAAAGUUAGGGGAUCGAAGACGAUCAGAUACCGUCGUAGUCUUAACCAUAAAC
This 463-nucleotide ribosomal RNA is filed under the name uncultured Glomus. RNAcentral describes it as "SSU rRNA". It matches the Rfam family "Eukaryotic small subunit ribosomal RNA", at positions 569 to 1037 of the family's 1831-position model. Lineage: Eukaryota; Fungi; Glomeromycota; Glomeromycetes; Glomerales; Glomeraceae. The record is from RNAcentral.